This is a non-coding RNA of Dipodomys ordii (Ord's kangaroo rat), 70 nucleotides long. The record is from Rfam. Lineage: Eukaryota; Metazoa; Chordata; Mammalia; Rodentia; Heteromyidae.
GGGAAGGUAGCUCAGUGGUAGAGCGCUUGCCUUGAAUGCAUGAGGUCCUGGGUUUGGUUCCUUAGCACCA